Meleagris gallopavo (turkey) is the source of this 625-nucleotide non-coding RNA. The record is from RefSeq and is a predicted model, not a curated record. Lineage: Eukaryota; Metazoa; Chordata; Aves; Galliformes; Phasianidae.
UAGGGACAGGUUCUGCACCACAGGGUGGUGGGCAUGGGAUGGGCUGCCCAGGGCUGUGGGCAUGGCCCCAGGUGCCAGAGUUCAGGGAGUGGUUUGUUCACUGUUCUCAGGCACAGGGUGUGGAUUUCUAGUGGUGCUGUGUGGAACCAGGAGUAGAUGAUCCUCGUGGAUCUUCUCCAACUCACAAUGUAGUGUGCUUCUGCAAUGUGAACAGUCGUACAGGCUGUGCAUCUCUGUGACUUGUACAAACUUCAGGAGAUGGCAAGGAAAGCCUUUUUCCUAAGCACUGUGAAUGAGAUGAUAAGAAUAUGGAAGUUAAGGAGCAUGGAUGAAAAUAUUGAAUUUUCUGAUACUCAUCCAGUUAGAACACAGAUAGGAAUGGAGUGCUGAUCAUCCUGUUACAUGCAAGCAUACAUACUUAAUGAUAUAAUUCCUUAAGUAGAUUGCCAGAGUGAAUUCACAGACCUCUGUAGCCUUAAACAUGACUGAGACAAAUUUAGCUUCUGAAAAAAAAGCAAUGUGAAUAAACAGUAUUCCACAAUAUAAUAAAAAGGACUGAACAAAUGAUCUGUUGUGGUCUUUUAUCCUUGAUAGAUUUUUACUACAUGCCAUUCUUUCAAAUAUG